UUCAACUCUGACUUGUAACAUAUUAAAUUUUCAAUUUAUAAUAUCAAUUUUAAAUACAAAGGACCGUUAUAUUAUUAUAUUAUAUUUAAUAUUUAAUAAAAUAAAAAAAUAAAAUUACAAUACAAUAAUCUAUCUAUAUCUAUAUCUAUAUCUAUAUAAUCCUAAUUUGUGAAUACAAACAAGAUUGCAAAAGACCUGUUUUGCCCUUACCAAUUUUUUUCCCAUAGUAGUUCCCAAGGGCUUAUGAGUAAUUCCACAAACAAAAUGGAGCAACCCGAUGAAAACGGGUCCUGACCCGGAGCAUUUAGCAGUGUAUUCCUUCAUGAUUUUCCGGAAGAUCCGAACUUCGACGGGUCAGUACGUUUUUUUUUUUUGAAUAUUUUCAGUUGUGACAACUGACAACCCAUGAUUUCAGCAGUCAGUUACUACGUUCAUUUCAAAAUUGUGCACACAUGUGAACCCGCUUCCUACUGCGACCUCCCUUUCUCCUCAUUCCGACCCACACUGAACUUAUUGACCAGGAUAAUGGUCGUAAGCGCAUCUAUUUAGGUGAGGUUUCGCCUUUGUCCUUCAGAACUGGCCAGCAUAGAAGGUGUUUGUAGGCCUGUCACUCUAAUGCACAAGAAAGUCAGAGUGCUGGGAUUGGCCAACCACCAGCGUGUGAGAACGUUGAUCCGAACAGAGCUACCAGGACAACUACUGAGAUUGGUUCACAAUUUGGUAAUUCUACUGUUGCUAUUAAAACAACCAAGAUCUUCUCGAACGAUACCCAAUGUUCAGGUUCUGGCAUUACACAUGGCACAUGGUCCAGGCCCGUGAACUAGAGUGGUGCAUUCAAACUCCAAACUCAAACACAAGGUUCCGGCACAACACAUGCUACAUCACAAAGCAAGGUAAACCAAACUGGCGUAUCUGUUGCUGAUCUUAAUGUUAUUUUUUGAACUCACGCCAUCACAGAGGAGGCUACCUUAAACACAAGUCAUAUCUGCAGAACUUAGUUUCCAGCGACCCAUGUCACAACUCAUACAAACUGCUGGACGCAGUGGCACUACCAGUUUUCAGUACAAUAAGCUCACGGUUAGUACACCUUCUGAUUUUCAGUACAAUAAACCUAGAAGUGUUGGCCAUGCAUCAAGAUAAAGGAGACGUCCCUACAGAACCCAUCUUUUGCUGCUAAUAGGUGUAGGCAGAACAACACCGGUUCGUGAUGUGUCUUCAAAGCAUGACAACACAUGUUCCAGGAAUCCAAUUACUUUUCCACCUACGUGCUCUGUAACGUGCAAAGAUUAUGCAAAUCCGGCCCAGAUGCCAGAGACUCGAAUAAAGAUAUUGUGGGGGCUCGGACAUGUUGCAGAGAUGGUGUGGUACAACCAGAGGUUGUUGAGGCUGUUGGAUUGGAGGCACCAAGCUGUUGUAAGCAACAGCUAUGUCAACAAAAUGCUAUUCAUUGAGUCAGACUAUUUGUAAUUAAGUCAGGCUAUUCCAUAUCGACAGGUUGUUAGGAAUAGAAAUUCUAUGAAGUCAUAUUUUGGGGUGGUUGUGGAGAAAUAUUUGUGUUUACUAGAAACAGCCUCCAUUGUGUAUUUUUUUGUAACACCACCUGUAAAUGGAUGAUGAUUCAUUGCUUAGCAUCCCUGGUCGUAUGUUUGAAGGGAGUGAUGUUCCCUUUAAAAUAAUAGUAUAAAAAUGAUGAUUAGUUUUCUAUUAUUAUUUUAACCUUUCUGUUUAUCAA
This is a long non-coding RNA of Daucus carota subsp. sativus, 1732 nucleotides long. RefSeq lists it as uncharacterized. The transcript has 11 exons. The record is from RefSeq and is a predicted model, not a curated record. Lineage: Eukaryota; Viridiplantae; Streptophyta; Magnoliopsida; Apiales; Apiaceae.